RNAcentral lists this ribosomal RNA (253 nucleotides) under uncultured bacterium. Its description in RNAcentral is "partial 16S ribosomal RNA". It matches the Rfam family "Bacterial small subunit ribosomal RNA", at positions 524 to 776 of the family's 1533-position model. The record is from RNAcentral.
UACGUAGGGAGCGAGCGUUGUCCGGAAUUACUGGGCGUAAAGGGCGCGUAGGCGGGAACUUAAGUUAGAUGUGAAAACUCCGGGCUUAACCUGGAGACUGCAUUUAAAACUGGGUUUCUUGAGGGCAGGAGAGGAAAGUGGAAUUCCAUGUGUAGCGGUGAAAUGCGUAGAUAUAUGGAGGAACACCGGUGGCGAAAGCGGCUCUCUGGCCUGUAACUGACACUGAGGCUCGAAAGCGUGGGGAGCAAACAGG